RNAcentral lists this ribosomal RNA (1316 nucleotides) under Xylomya moiwana. RNAcentral's name for it is "16S ribosomal RNA". The stretch from base 1065 to 1224 matches the Rfam family "Archaeal large subunit ribosomal RNA", at positions 2544 to 2703 of the family's 2987-position model. The record is from RNAcentral. Lineage: Eukaryota; Metazoa; Arthropoda; Insecta; Diptera; Xylomyidae.
UUAAAUUUUAUUUAUUAAUUUUAUGUUAUUAAUUUAUAAGAAAAAUAAUUUUAUAAUUUAUUGUUUAAGUAUAUUAUAUAGAAAAAAUAAUUUUAAUAAUAGUUUAUUAGUAUUGUAAAAGAAUAUUGAAAUAAUUUGAAAAAUUUUUAUUUUAUAAGAAAAUAUUAUUUGUUGUACCUUGUGUGUCAGGGUUUAUUAAUUAAAUUUUAUAUUUAUAAAUUUCUCGAUUUUAAAAUAGUUAAUAAAUUAUAUUAGUUAAUGUAGAAUAAUUAUUAAUAAUAAUUUAUUGGAAAUGAAAUGUUAUUCGUUUUUAAAGGUAUCUAGUUUUUUAAGAAAUAAAUUUAAUUUAUUAAAUUGAUUAUUAAAUUGAUUAAAUAAUUUAAUGAAGAUAUUUAAAAGUAAUUUAUGGGAUAAGCUAUAAAUUAAAUAAUUAAAAUUAAAUAAAUUUAAUAAUAAAUAUAUGUUUAGAAUUAGCAAUUAUUUUUAAGUUUGUUAUAAAAUAUUUUAUAAUUAAUAUUAUUUAUUAUAAUUUAAUUUUGUAUUAAAAUAUUAAUUUUAAUUUAAAAAAUUAAUUAAUAAUGAUAAAAUUAGUAUAUAAAAAUGUAUAUUUAAAAAUUGAUUGGAAGGUUUAAAUAAAGAAUUCGGCAAAUUAAUUAAUAUUCGCUUGUUUAACAAAAACAUGUCCUUUUGAAUAAAUUUAAGGUUUAACCUGCCCACUGAAAUUUUAAAUGGCCGCAGUAUUUUAACUGUGCAAAGGUAGCAUAAUCAUUAGUCUUUUAAUUGAAGGCUUGUAUGAAUGGUUGGACGAAAUAUUAACUGUUUCAUUUAAAUUAAUAUAGAAUUUUAUUUUUUAGUCAAAAAGCUAAAAUUUUUUUAAAAGACGAGAAGACCCUAUAGAUCUUUAUAUUUUUAUUAAAUUUAAUUUAUAUAGAAAAAUUAAAAUUUAAUUUAUAAAAUAUUUUAUUGGGGUGAUAAUAAAAUUUAAUAAACUUUUAUAUAUUAAAUACAUUAAUUUAUGAAUAAUUGAUCCAUUAUUAUUGAUUAUUAAAUUAAGUUACCUUAGGGAUAACAGCGUAAUUUUUUUAGAGAGUUCAUAUCGAUAAAAAAGAUUGCGACCUCGAUGUUGGAUUAAGAGAUAUUUUUAGGUGCAGAAAUUUAAAUAAAAAGUCUGUUCGACUUUUAGAAUCUUACAUGAUCUGAGUUCAAACCGGCGUAAGCCAGGUUGGUUUCUAUCUUUAAAUAAAUUAGGAUAUUUUAGUACGAAAGGACCAAAUAUUUGAAAUAAUUUUUAUUUAAUUAGAUUUCUAUUAAAUUAU